Molecule: ribosomal RNA, 497 nt
Filed under: uncultured bacterium
Lineage: Bacteria
Description: partial 16S ribosomal RNA
Rfam family: Bacterial small subunit ribosomal RNA
Source: RNAcentral
GAUGAACGCUGGCGGAGUGCCUAAUACAUGCAAGUCGAGCGAACGGACGAGAAGCUUGCUUCUCUGAUGUUAGCGGCGGACGGGUGAGUAACACGUGGAUAACCUACCUAUAAGACUGGGAUAACUUCGGGAAACCGUAGCUAAUACCGGAUAAUAUUUUGAACCGCAUGGUUCAAAAGUGAAAGACGGUCUUGCUGUCACUUAUAGAUGGAUCCGCGCUGCAUUAGCUAGUUGGUAAGGUAACGGCUUACCAAGGCAACGAUGCAUAGCCGACCUGAGAGGGUGAUCGGCCACACUGGAACUGAGACACGGUCCAGACUCCUACGGGAGGCAGCAGUAGGGAAUCUUCCGCAAAGGGCGAAAGCCUGACGGAGCAACGCCGCGUGAGUGAUGAAGGUCUUCGGAUCGUAAAACUCUGUUAUUAGGGAAGAACAUAUGUGUAAGUAACUGUGCACAUCUUGACGGUACCUAAUCAGAAAGCCACGGCUAACUACGUG